CAAGAAAAUACUUGUUGCAAAUAUGUUCGUUUUUGUCUCUGCAAGUGUAAAUGGAGUCAAUGUCAAGUGUUCCAUGGCUAUAAGGAUAGGCAGUAUUCAAAGUCCUAAAAUAAAUGUUUUAUAGCAUUAACCUACAGAAAAAAGUUAACAAUAGAAUGGGCAGCAUUACCAACCAAUCACCAGACAAGGAAAAAAAUUCUUCGAAGCAACUACAAAGCUACAUGGCUGCCAAUAUGUACUGCUCCUAUUUGUGAUAACAAUGUAUGAAAGUGAUGAAGAUGGAAUUUUCUGUCCUACUUGUGUCUGUCAUAGACUGUGGGGUCCACCGUUACAAAACUCUACAUCAGCAACAAUCGUUUCUCACUGCUCAGAACCUGCAAAUGUCGUGAAUGAAAACAUUUUUAAUUAAAAAUAAUUGUAACACCAAGGCAUUAUUAAACGACUUGCCUAACUAAGGAAACCGCUGGAACCACGUUUGUCUCCACAAUCCUGAAAUGAUUGAAAUGAGAA
Long non-coding RNA from Daphnia carinata, 510 nucleotides. RefSeq lists it as uncharacterized. The transcript has 2 exons. The record is from RefSeq and is a predicted model, not a curated record. Lineage: Eukaryota; Metazoa; Arthropoda; Branchiopoda; Diplostraca; Daphniidae.